RNAcentral lists this small nucleolar RNA (66 nucleotides) under Salix viminalis (osier). RNAcentral describes it as "Small nucleolar RNA U49". It matches the Rfam family "Small nucleolar RNA U49". The record is from Rfam by way of RNAcentral. Lineage: Eukaryota; Viridiplantae; Streptophyta; Magnoliopsida; Malpighiales; Salicaceae. RNAcentral also lists the same sequence under 2 other names.
UCCCUAUGAGGAAGUCAUCCCAAAAGAUAGGAAGUGCCGUAUGACACUUUAAGCAGCAGCGGUCAC